RNAcentral lists this ribosomal RNA (253 nucleotides) under uncultured bacterium. RNAcentral describes it as "partial 16S ribosomal RNA". It matches the Rfam family "Bacterial small subunit ribosomal RNA", at positions 524 to 776 of the family's 1533-position model. The record is from RNAcentral.
UACGUAGGGGGCGAGCGUUGUCCGGAAUGACUGGGCGUAAAGGGCGCGUAGGCGGCGGAUUAAGUCUGGAGUGAAAGUCCUGCUUUCAAGGUGGGAAUUGCUUUGGAUACUGGUCGGCUUGAGUGCGGAAGAGGCAAGUGGAAUUCCCAGUGUAGCGGUGAAAUGCGUAGAGAUUGGGAGGAACACCAGUGGCGAAGGCGACUUGCUGGGCCGUAACUGACGCUGAAGCGCGAAAGCGUGGGGAGCGAACAGG